AACAGGACUUUGACCUUGUAAAUGGUUUCCAAGGUAAAAAUUUGUGCAAUUGGAAACUAGUGUUGGCGGAGGACUGUGCUCUACGAGCACGGUGCUCGAGUCUUAAUUAUGGACAGUUUCAAAUUUC
Molecule: long non-coding RNA, 127 nt
Organism: Thalassophryne amazonica
Lineage: Eukaryota; Metazoa; Chordata; Actinopteri; Batrachoidiformes; Batrachoididae
Exons: 4
Source: RefSeq, a predicted model, not a curated record